This 373-nucleotide ribosomal RNA is filed under the name uncultured Cytophagia bacterium. RNAcentral describes it as "bacterial SSU rRNA". It matches the Rfam family "Bacterial small subunit ribosomal RNA", at positions 521 to 896 of the family's 1533-position model. The record is from RNAcentral. Lineage: Bacteria; Pseudomonadati; Bacteroidota; Cytophagia.
UAAUACGGAGGGUGCAAGCGUUGUCCGGAUUUAUUGGGUUUAAAGGGUGCGUAGGUGGUUUUUUAAGUCAGUGGUGAAAGCCUACAGCUCAACUGUAGAGGUGCCAUUGAAACUGGAAAACUUGAGUAUGGACGAGGUAGGCGGAAUUUGUGGUGUAGCGGUGAAAUGCAUAGAUACCACAAAGAACACCGAUAGCGAAGGCAGCUUACUGGACCAUAACUGACACUGAGGCACGAAAGCGUGGGGAGCGAACAGGAUUAGAUACCCUGGUAGUCCACGCCGUAAACGAUGCUCACUCGAUGUAUGCGAUAUACUGUAUGCGUCCAAGCGAAAGCGUUAAGUGAGCCACCUGGGGAGUACGCUCGCAAGAGUG